Molecule: ribosomal RNA, 200 nt
Filed under: uncultured bacterium
Lineage: Bacteria
Description: partial 16S ribosomal RNA
Rfam family: Bacterial small subunit ribosomal RNA
Source: RNAcentral
AACGAACGCUGGCGGCAUGCCUAACACAUGCAAGUCGAACGAGACCUUCGGGUCUAGUGGCGCACGGGUGCGUAACGCGUGGGAAUCUGCCUUUGGGUUCGGGAUAACAGUUGGAAACGACUGCUAAUACCGGAUGAUGUCUUCGGACCAAAGAUUUAUCGCCCAGGGAUGAGCCCGCGUAGGAUUAGCUUGUUGGUGAG